GGGACCAUCCAGUCACCUUCAACGCAGGUAGGUUUGCUGAGAGGCUCCCUGCGUGACACUUCAUCCAAUCAGACGUGAAGCUGGCCCGAGACGUGGAGCCAUGCUGCGUACCCAAGUGCCCCGGCUUCCCGGGUCCACAACCGCCAUUGUCUGGUCGUGCCAUCUAAUGGCCGCUGCCUCCGCCAUGGCUGGACCUUCCUCUGAGACGACCUCUGAGGAACAGCUGAUCACCCAGGAGCCCAAAGAGGCCAACUCCACGACGGCCCAGAAGCAGAGCAAGCAGAGGAAGCGAGGGCGCCGUGGGCCCCGCAGGUGCCACUCCAACUGCUGCGGGGACAGCUUCGCCACCUAUUUCCGCCGGGUGCUGAAGCAGGUUCAUCAGGGCCUCAGCCUUUCCCGGGAAGCCGUGAGUGUCAUGGAUUCUUUGGUUCAUGACAUAUUGGACCGCAUCGCCACCGAGGCUGGUCGCCUGGCCCGCUCCACCAAGCGCCAGACCAUCACCGCCUGGGAGACCCGGAUGGCUGCGCGCCUGCUGCUGCCGGGGCAGAUGGGCAAGCUCGCCGAGUCCGAAGGCACAAAGGCUGUCCUCAGAACUUCACUGUAUGCCAUACAGCAACAGAGAAAGUGAAUACGCUGAUACAAGAAGCAAGAGGAUCUCCAGCCGCCCGAGUAUGUGGACCAGAGAACAUACUCUGGGAUUGCCACCCACAGGAAUUUAUUGUAUUGUGCCUUGAAGCUCAAUAUGUGGCCAUUUUUCUCAAAUGUUUCCCGUGAAUUUUGAAACAUCUCAUAAACAACCCUUCUCCUUCAUAUGUGGAAACCAGUAAAGGGUGGCACUCUCAGUCAAACCAUGAAACGAAAGCUGGAAUAUUAGAAAAAUGUCAUGAAAAUAGUUGAAGAGAAAUGCUCACUGCACGAGGAGACCAAGAAACGCCCCCCACGAAAUCAGCCACAACUAAAUCGCUCUGGACGGUGCCGCCAGGUGACCCUACAUGUCCGGAGCAACACUUUGAAAACCAAAGACGCUUGGCAGAACCCUGUUCCUUUCCAGAGACGGAGCUGUGUACCUGGUCUAAAACACCACAUCUCACUCAGUGACUUAUUUCUCAUUAUGCUAAUUGUUUUUGCUUUAAAGCGCCAAUCUUUCUGUCAAAUGGGACAUACAAAUAAAUUUCUAAAAUUAUC
Molecule: RNA transcript, 1185 nt
Organism: Pongo pygmaeus (Bornean orangutan)
Lineage: Eukaryota; Metazoa; Chordata; Mammalia; Primates; Hominidae
Gene name: histone H2B type W-T
Exons: 4
Source: RefSeq, a predicted model, not a curated record